CCCUGAUGCACCACGCCGCGUGGAGGAUGACGCAUUUCGGUGUGUAAACUCCUUUUAUAUGGGAAGAUAAUGACGGUACCAUAUGAAUAAGCACCGGCUAACUCCGUGCCAGCAGCCGCGGUAAUACGGAGGGUGCAAGCGUUACUCGGAAUUACUGGGCGUAAAGAGCGUGUAGGCGGACUGACAAGUCAGAAGUGAAAUCCUGUGGCUCAACCAUAGAACUGCUUCUGAAACUGCUAGUCUAGAAUAUGGGAGAGGUAGACGGAAUUGAUGGUGUAGGGGUAAAAUCCGUAGAGAUCAUCAGGAAUACCGAAAGCGAAGGCGGUCUACUGGAACAUUAUUGACGCUGAGACGCGAAAGUGUGGGUAGCAAACAGGAUUAGAUACCCUGGUAGUCCACACCCUAAACGAUGAAUGUUAGUCGUCGGAAUGCAUGUCAUUUCGGUGAUGCAGCUAACGCAUUAAACAUUCCGCCUGGGGAGUACGGUCGCAAGAUUAAAACUCAAAGGAAUAGACGGGGACCCGCACAAGCGGUGGAGCAUGUGGUUUAAUUCGACGAUACGCGAAGAACCUUACCCGGCCUUGACAUCCUUGGAACAUUCUAGAGAUAGAGUGGUGCCAGGUUUACCUGGAGCCAAGUGACAGGUGCUGCACGGCUGUCGUCAGCUCGUGUCGUGAGAUGUUGGGUUAAGUCCCGCAACGAG
Molecule: ribosomal RNA, 703 nt
Filed under: uncultured Pseudomonadota bacterium
Lineage: Bacteria; Pseudomonadati; Pseudomonadota
Description: bacterial SSU rRNA
Rfam family: Bacterial small subunit ribosomal RNA
Source: RNAcentral